Molecule: RNA transcript, 2216 nt
Organism: Vicia villosa (hairy vetch)
Lineage: Eukaryota; Viridiplantae; Streptophyta; Magnoliopsida; Fabales; Fabaceae
Exons: 7
Source: RefSeq, a predicted model, not a curated record
UACGUCAAACCUUAUUUCCAUUCUGAAAAAACCGAUCAGUAUCAACCAAAGCACAUUGUUCUUCCCCAAACAAAAUGGUAUCUUCACAUUAAAAAUCUGCAAAUUCCAAAAUUUGAAAUGAAAACAAUGGACAAAGACAUAUCAAACUGGGUCAUGGAGUUUCUCCUUCGAAGCUCCGUUCCCGAUUCCCUCAUCCAUAAAACCCUAACCGUUCUUCCACUCUCCGGCGCCGAUUCUCGUCUCAAAAAAACCCUCCUCCUCCGUACCCUCCAAACUCACCUCCGCACCGCCUCCCUCUCCGAAACCUCUCUCCAAAUCAUCGAAUCCCUCGAGGAGCUUUACCGCAGAGAUGAGAUUCGUGUCUCCGCGGCAAUGCGCAGCGCUUAUUGCGCUGUUGCUGUUGAGUGUACCGUGAAAUAUCUUAUUACUUCCCAUGAGGAUCCGUCCGGGGAGUAUUUUUCCGCUGUUCGACGGAUCUGGCGUGGUCGGGUUGUUCAAUUGUCGGCUGAGGGACAGAGGAGUGAGCUUCUAUCGGACGAGUUGUCGCGGUGGGGAGAGGACAUUGAGGCUGCGCUUUGGGAUGUUAGGGCUUCGGAGAGGCUUGCGGGUUUGAAUACAAGGAGAGAUGCGAUGAAUGAGGUUCAGAGGUUUUUGAAGGAUGCGUGGCAAGUUAUGGGACCUUCGUUUCUUGAUUCGAUGGCGAUGGUCUCUAAAGGGAAUGGUUUACGUCCUGAAGGUGUCUGUGGAAAUGCUUCGGGUAGUGAAAAGUUGAAGAAGAGUGAUGGAAGGUUAGAUAGUUUGGGAAAGGAGAAAAUGUGUUCUGUUGUGGAUGAUAACAAUGAUAAUGAUAAUGUUGAUGAUGGUGGUGGUGAUGAUGAUGAUGACGUGGCAGUGAUGGGUGAAAACCAUGGGAAUGAAAGAUUGGAAGAGAGAGUUGGUACUUCUGUUGAUGCAGAUCAGGAAGUGGGUGGGUGUGAUUCUUCAAAUGUAGAUAAAGAAAUUUGGGAAGGCAAUGUCCGGCUCAAACGCAAGCACUCUGCAUUACGAACAUGCCAUAGGGGAGUUAAAAUCUCUGGUGCUAAGGAAAUGAGGGCAACAAAUUUAUCGAGUAAAUAUAAAAUCUUGCCUAGUCCUGAAGUAGAGAAAGUCCGGGAAUCCCUUAAAUCAAGUUCUAUGGAGUUAAAGGCAUUGGUCAAGGAUCCUCUUCCUGAUGCAUUGCGAUCAUCUGAAGAUGUAAGAUCCAAAUUGGCAACAAAACAUAUAAAUCUUGGGCCACCAAGUGAAAAUCAGAGUGGACCUGUAGAUGUACGGCGUUCAGAUGGAUGCCAAACUAUUGUACUUUAUCAGGCUAAGGCUAAUGAUGCCAAUCUUGCAAAGAAGUCUUCUGUUCCUUGUAGUAAUGAUCGCCGCCCCAACUUUAUGGGGCGGGCAAGUUCUGCUCAUACUUACGAGUGGGAUGAUUCAAUUGAUAACUCACUACAAGCUAGACAGCCAAGAAGGAAGAAAAGGAAAUGGACUUCAUUGGAAGAGGAGACACUAAGGGCUGGUGUAAAAAUGUUUGGAGAAGGAAACUGGCGGACAAUUCGAGACUUUUACAGCAACAUAUUUGAAUAUAGAAGUGGAGUUGAUCUAAAAGACAAGUGGAGAAAUAUGAUGCGGUGACACAGAGGAGUUAUUUAAAUUUCCAUGUGUAUAUAUCUCAGGAAGGUGAUUGGUAUAGGAGCUUUGAUGGAAUCUUCUAGUUUUGUGAUCAUGGAUGACCCACUGUUGAACGGGUUUUGCCAGUUCCUGGUCUCUCUCCUCCUUGUUUUGUUGAAGCACAGUUCAGCUAGUGCUGUUAGUGUGGACCAACUUGUAACCCAAAGUGCCCAUGUAAGGACCCACUCAAACCUCUUCUCCUUCAUCUAUGCGUUCCUGUUUCAAGAGCUUGUUAGACUAAUGUUCAGGUUUUGAUGAUGCAUAUUGCGCACUAAUAAGCUACCUUUUCUAAAACUAGCUUAUAGUAAUUCAGUUGAGAAAAAGAUUUCCUGUUGUAAUGUAUCACCAAUAUUUUUUAUCUUGGUGAAUAAUCUAGAGUUGUGUUAUUUGAACUAGAACAUUAGAGUAGUUUAUACAACUUGAUGCAUUAUAUAGAAAUACAAGCAUAACCUGGUAUUGUUGCGUAGCAUUUGACUAGUGCUGGUAUUGAAGUUUAUACUAGAAAGGUUUAUUGACUA